Molecule: signal recognition particle RNA, 98 nt
Filed under: Desulfobulbaceae bacterium
Lineage: Bacteria; Pseudomonadati; Thermodesulfobacteriota; Desulfobulbia; Desulfobulbales; Desulfobulbaceae
Description: signal recognition particle sRNA small type
Rfam family: Bacterial small signal recognition particle RNA
About the family: The signal recognition particle (SRP) is a universally conserved ribonucleoprotein involved in the co-translational targeting of proteins to membranes. Archaeal SRP consists of a 7S RNA and homologues of the eukaryotic SRP19 and SRP54 proteins.
Source: RNAcentral
AGCCGGGUCCUGCGCAACAGAGAGCCGCGAACCCCGCCAGGUCCGGGAGGAAGCAACGGUAGUGAAUCUCUUUGUGUGCCGCAGAGCGCCCGGCUAUC